This 468-nucleotide ribosomal RNA is filed under the name uncultured bacterium. Its description in RNAcentral is "partial 16S ribosomal RNA". It matches the Rfam family "Bacterial small subunit ribosomal RNA", at positions 28 to 507 of the family's 1533-position model. The record is from RNAcentral.
GACGAACGCUGGCGGCGUGCUUAACACAUGCAAGUCGAACGGAAAGGCCCUGCUUUUGUGGGGUGCUCGAGUGGCGAACGGGUGAGUAACACGUGAGUAACCUGCCCUUGACUUUGGGAUAAUUUCAGGAAACUGGGGCUAAUACCGGAUAGGAGCUCCUGCUGCAUGGUGGGGGUUGGAAAGUUUCGGCGGUUGGGGAUGGACUCGCGGCUUAUCAGCUUGUUGGUGGGGUAGUGGCUUACCAAGGCUUUGACGGGUAGCCGGCCUGAGAGGGUGACCGGCCACAUUGGGACUGAGAUACGGCCCAGACUCCUACGGGAGUCAGCAGUGGGGAAUAUUGCACAAUGGGCGGAAGCCUGAUGCAGCAACGCCGCGUGCGGGAUGACGGCCUUCGGGUUGUAAACCGCUUUCGCCUGUGACGAAGCGUGAGUGACGGUAAUGGGUAAAGAAGCACCGGCUAACUACGUG